GCCCAAAUGGUCCAAUGGCUAUGAUAUGGCCCUGUCGAGGCUAUGAUCUGGGUUCGAUUCCCGGUUUGGGCG
Molecule: transfer RNA, 72 nt
Filed under: Candidatus Diapherotrites archaeon CG09_land_8_20_14_0_10_32_12
Lineage: Archaea; Nanobdellati; Candidatus Iainarchaeota
Description: tRNA-Asp
Rfam family: tRNA
About the family: Transfer RNA (tRNA) molecules are approximately 80 nucleotides in length. Their secondary structure includes four short double-helical elements and three loops (D, anti-codon, and T loops). Further hydrogen bonds mediate the characteristic L-shaped molecular structure. tRNAs have two regions of fundamental functional importance: the anti-codon, which is responsible for specific mRNA codon recognition, and the 3' end, to which the tRNAs corresponding amino acid is attached (by aminoacyl-tRNA synthetases). tRNAs cope with the degeneracy of the genetic code in two manners: having more than one tRNA (with a specific anti-codon) for a particular amino acid; and 'wobble' base-pairing, i.e. permitting non-standard base-pairing at the 3rd anti-codon position.
Source: RNAcentral